Phyllostomus discolor (pale spear-nosed bat) is the source of this 104-nucleotide small nuclear RNA. NCBI's taxonomy places the organism in Eukaryota, Metazoa, Chordata, Mammalia, Chiroptera, Phyllostomidae. The record is from RefSeq and is a predicted model, not a curated record.
GUGCUCACUUCAGCAGCACAUAUACUAAAAUUGGAAUGAUACAGAGAUUAGCAUGACCCCUGUGCAAGGAUGACAUGCAGAUUUGCGAAGCAUUCCAUAUUUUG